UAUAAAUACGCUCCUUUGCGUGUUUGAAUUUGGCAUAGAGAAAACUUUUUUUGCGAGAGAGUUCUCUAUGUUUUUUAUUAUACA
RNAcentral lists this antisense RNA (84 nucleotides) under Pseudolactococcus piscium. RNAcentral's name for it is "Lactococcus piscium ctRNA_pND324". It matches the Rfam family "ctRNA". From Rfam's summary of the family: Rolling circle replication plasmids contain a number of mechanisms to maintain a low copy number. RNAcentral also lists the same sequence under 1 other name. Lineage: Bacteria; Bacillati; Bacillota; Bacilli; Lactobacillales; Streptococcaceae. The record is from RNAcentral.